GCUUGUCUCAAAGAUUAAGCCAUGCAUGUCUCAGUAUAAGCUUUUACACGGCGAAACUGCGAAUGGCUCAUUAUAUCAGUUAUAGUUUAUUUGAUGGUUCUUGCUACUUGGAUAACCGUAGUAAUUCUAGAGCUAAUACAUGCGUCAAACCCCGACUUCUGGGAGGGGUGUAUUUAUUAGAUGGAAACCAAUGCGGGGCAACCCGGUAUAUGGUGAUUCAUAAUAACUUUCGGAUCGAUCUUCGGAUCGAUGCAUCAUUCAAGUUUCUGCCCUAUCAGCUUUGGAUGGUAGGGUAUUGGCCUACCAUGGCUUUAACGGGUAACGGAGAAUUAGGGUUCGAUUCCGGAGAGGGAGCCUGAGAAAUGGCUACCACAUCCAAGGAAGGCAGCAGG
This 392-nucleotide ribosomal RNA is filed under the name uncultured Spumella. RNAcentral's name for it is "partial small subunit ribosomal RNA". It matches the Rfam family "Eukaryotic small subunit ribosomal RNA", at positions 30 to 432 of the family's 1831-position model. The record is from RNAcentral. Lineage: Eukaryota; Synurophyceae; Ochromonadales; Ochromonadaceae.